UACAAUUGUUCGGCUGUCUU
RNAcentral lists this non-coding RNA (20 nucleotides) under Arabidopsis thaliana (thale cress). The record is from RNAcentral. Lineage: Eukaryota; Viridiplantae; Streptophyta; Magnoliopsida; Brassicales; Brassicaceae.